GGCUGGUCCUAAGGUAGUGAGUUAUCUCGCUUGAUUGUUCAUAGUCAGUUACAGAUUGAACUCCUUGUUCUACUCAUUCCCCUCUUCUCACUACUGCACUUGUUAUUUU
Otolemur garnettii (small-eared galago) is the source of this 109-nucleotide non-coding RNA. The record is from Rfam. Lineage: Eukaryota; Metazoa; Chordata; Mammalia; Primates; Galagidae.